UACGUAGGGGGCAAGCGUUAUCCGGAUUCACUGGGCGUAAAGGGAGCGCAGGCGGCGCGGCAAGUCUGAUGUGAAAGCCCGGGGCUCAACCCCGGGUCUGCAUUGGAAACUGUCGAGCUAGAGUGUCGGAGGGGUAAGCGGAAUUCCUAGUGUAGCGGUGAAAUGCGUAGAUAUUAGGAGGAACACCAGUGGCGAAGGCGGCUUACUGGACGAUGACUGACGCUGAGGCUCGAAAGCGUGGGGAG
RNAcentral lists this ribosomal RNA (245 nucleotides) under uncultured Lachnospiraceae bacterium. RNAcentral's name for it is "partial 16S ribosomal RNA". It matches the Rfam family "Bacterial small subunit ribosomal RNA", at positions 524 to 768 of the family's 1533-position model. The record is from RNAcentral. Lineage: Bacteria; Bacillati; Bacillota; Clostridia; Lachnospirales; Lachnospiraceae.